GAUGAACGCUGGCGGCGUGCCUAAUACAUGCAAGUCGAGCGAACGGACGAGAAGCUUGCUUUUCUGAUGUUAGCGGCGGACGGGUGAGUAACACGUGGAUAACCUACCUAUAAGACUGGGAUAACUUCGGGAAACCGGAGCUAAUACCGGAUAAUAUUUUGAACCGCAUGGUUCAAAAGUGAAAGACGGUCUUGCUGUCACUUAUAGAUGGAUCCGCGCUGCAUUAGCUAGUUGGUAAGGUAACGGCUUACCAAGGCAACGAUGCAUAGCCGACCUGAGAGGGUGAUCGGCCACACUGGAACUAGGACACGGUCCAAACUCCUACGGGAGGCAGCAGUAGGGAAUCUUCCGCAAUGGGCGAAAGCCUGACGGAGCAACGCCGCGUGAGUGAUGAAGGUCUUCGGAUCGUAAAACUCUGUUAUUAGGGAAGAACAUAUGUGUAAGUAACUGUGCACAUCUUGACGGUACCUAAUCAGAAAGCCACGGCUAACUACGUG
This 497-nucleotide ribosomal RNA is filed under the name uncultured bacterium. RNAcentral describes it as "partial 16S ribosomal RNA". It matches the Rfam family "Bacterial small subunit ribosomal RNA", at positions 28 to 507 of the family's 1533-position model. The record is from RNAcentral.